This 196-nucleotide small nuclear RNA is filed under the name Glycine max (soybean). RNAcentral's name for it is "U2 spliceosomal RNA". It matches the Rfam family "U2 spliceosomal RNA". Rfam says of the family: U2 is a small nuclear RNA (snRNA) component of the spliceosome (involved in pre-mRNA splicing). RNAcentral also lists the same sequence under 1 other name. Lineage: Eukaryota; Viridiplantae; Streptophyta; Magnoliopsida; Fabales; Fabaceae. The record is from Rfam by way of RNAcentral.
AUACCUUUCUCGGCCUUUUGGCUAAGAUCAAGUGUAGUAUCUGUUCUUAUCAGUUUAAUAUUUGAUAUGUGGACCAUUGGUUCACACGAUAUUAAAUUAAUUUUUUGAGGGGGAGGGUCCAUUAUAGUAGCUUGCUACUGGGGCUCUCACGUGUUGCCCUUGCGUUGCACUACUGCACGGGCCUGGCACACCCCAC